Talpa occidentalis (Iberian mole) is the source of this 1297-nucleotide long non-coding RNA. RefSeq lists it as uncharacterized. The record is from RefSeq and is a predicted model, not a curated record. The transcript has 5 exons. NCBI's taxonomy places the organism in Eukaryota, Metazoa, Chordata, Mammalia, Eulipotyphla, Talpidae.
CUCACACUUGCAUUUCUUUGGAAUAGAACAUUUCAUUGGUAAACAUGACAAUGAUAAGUUUUUUAGGAUCUGUGAAGACUCUGAAGUUUUGAAAAAGGAAAGGGAACAAAUACAAACAACAGAAGGAAAAUGUGAAAGCAAGCUGUUUUUCCAGGGGGUCGCUCAGCAAAACCAGCUGCUUUAUGACAGAGCAUAUUCUGCCCCUCUAAGGGACACACAAAAGUGGGAGAGCCUGCCUACCAGUGAUUCUGUCCCCCUUAAUCCUUAGUAGUCACCAUCACUCACAAGAUAUAGUAUGUAUUUGCCCUGAAGUGAAGAAAGAAACUUUCCUGCAGAAGGUUCCAUCUUCAGUAGGAGUUGAAGCAGCUGCCUCAGGACUUGCCAUAUGAGUGUGCUCCCAUUUUCCCACCCCAAAGUACACUGGAAUCUGGGCUCCCUCAUGGCUGAGUUUGAAGAUACAGAUUUUCUUUCCAUCAUUCCCAUUAUGAGUCUCCAGGAUCAUCUUUGGCUGUUCUUUCAGAAUUAAUGGAAUGCCAAGUCAUUGGCAAGACUCAGUGCCAACUGUCAUCACUGUAAGACUUCACAUAUGCUACAGAAGACUAGCCAGUUCAUCACAUCUAUACUUGGAAGCUAUUUCUUUUGGACUUUUCCUGAUCCUUGAUUCCUGCAUUAAUAUUUCAUUCUGUGAACUUCCAUGAUAACUUGUUCCUAAAACAUGAUGGUAGCUAUAAGAACACAGUCCAGCUACAAGGAAAGUCCCUGAUAUGACUGUGCCAGCUUUGUGAAAAUGUACAGCUCUUUGCUAUAGCCUGGGUUAGUUGUUCCACGUGGUCAUUCUUAUGUAUACAUCAGCAUCCAUAGCAACACUUUUCUGCAAGUUGCUUACAAAAGUUUUGAUAGCAGUGGAUUGACAUGCAAUACAGGAGGUAAUUACAAUCAUGAGUGCAAAAAGUUUCAAAUAUGUUGAAAAUUGUUGAGGAAAAAUGCGGUGUCCUCAGGGCAGAUGGAUGAAUGCUAUAAGGAAGUAAUAGACAUGAACUCUGUUAAUGGGGCUGCCAGUGAUCUGGUAUUUGCCAGUAGGCAUAGUAAUUUUCCAAGCCCAAAGCAUUAAAAAGUUGCAGGUGAUAUUUAUGUAAUGUCAGUGGGUCAUAUUUACUGACUCCUCUGAAUGUACUGAUUCCAAAAAGUUCAGAAGGAAACACCAGUUAAAUGGAGUUCAGUGAAUGCAGGAAUGAAGCAACAAUGUAGAGACACAGGGCUUCAUUUCCAAGGUUCCAAUGUCUGCUGGUGUUUUAUU